This 868-nucleotide ribosomal RNA is filed under the name uncultured bacterium. Its description in RNAcentral is "bacterial SSU rRNA". It matches the Rfam family "Bacterial small subunit ribosomal RNA", at positions 22 to 906 of the family's 1533-position model. The record is from RNAcentral.
GCUCAGAAUGAACGUUGGCGGCGUGGAUUAGGCAUGCAAGUCGUACGGGCCGCAAGGCCAGUGGCGCAAGGGUGAGUAAGGCGACGGUAACCAACCCCGGGAUUGGGUAUAGCCGCGGGAAACUGCGGGUAAUCCCCAGCGACGUCGUCGGGAGGCAUCUCCCGAGGACCAAAGCCCCGGCGUCGCGGGACGGGCCGUCGUGGUAUUAGCUAGAUGGCGGGGUAACGGCCCACCAUGGCUGUGAUGCCUACCGGGCGUGCGAGCGUGGCCCGGCACACUGGGACUGAGACACUGCCCAGACUCCUACGGGAGGCUGCAGUCGAGAAUCUUCGGCAAUGGGCGCAAGCCUGACCGAGCGACGCCGCGUGGAGGACGAAGGCCUUCGGGUUGUAAACUCCUGUCGAGGGGGAAGAAGGUCGGGCAACCGGCUUGACUGAUCCCUGGAGGAAGCACGGGCUAAGUUCGUGCCAGCAGCCGCGGUAAGACGAACCGUGCGAACGUUAUUCGGAAUCACUGGGCUUAAAGCGCGUGUAGGCGGGACGACGCGUCGGUCGCUGAAAUCCCCCGGCUUAACCGGGGAACGGGCGCCGAUACGGUCGGCCUCGAGGGGCGUAGGGGGACCUGGAACUUCCGGUGGAGCGGUGAAAUGCGUUGAGAUCGGAAGGAACGCCCGUGGCGAAAGCGAGGUCCUGGACGCUUACUGACGCUGAGACGCGAAAGCCAGGGGAGCGAACGGGAUUAGAUACCCCGGUAGUCCUGGCCGUAAACGAUGGGCACUGGGUAGGGGGCUCGCCGAUGGGCUCCCUGCCGCAGCGAAAGCGUGAAGUGCCCCGCCUGGGGAGUAUGGUCGCAAGGCUGAAACUCAAAG